This 434-nucleotide ribosomal RNA is filed under the name uncultured Lachnospiraceae bacterium. Its description in RNAcentral is "partial 16S ribosomal RNA". It matches the Rfam family "Bacterial small subunit ribosomal RNA", at positions 341 to 792 of the family's 1533-position model. The record is from RNAcentral. Lineage: Bacteria; Bacillati; Bacillota; Clostridia; Lachnospirales; Lachnospiraceae.
ACGGAAGGCAGUAGUGGGGAAUACUGCACAAUGGGGGAAACCCUGAUGCAGCGACGCCGCGUGAGUGAAGAAGUAUUUCGGUAUGUAAAGCUCUAUCAGCAGGGAAGAAAAUGACGGUACCUGCAUAAGAAGCCCCGGCUAACUACGUGCCAGCAGCCGCGGUAAUACGUAGGGGGCAAGCGUUAUCCGGAUUUACUGGGUGUAAAGGGAGCGUAGACGGCAUGGCAAGUCUGAAGUGAAAGCUCGGGGCUCAACCCCGGAACUGCUUUGGAAACUGUCAAGCUAGAGUAUCGGAGAGGUAAGCGGAAUUCCUAGUGUAGCGGUGAAAUGCGUAGAUAUUAGGAGGAACACCAGUGGCGAAGGCGGCUUACUGGACGGUAACUGACGUUGAGGCUCGAAAGCGUGGGGAGCAAACAGGAUUAGAUACCCUGGUA